RNAcentral lists this ribosomal RNA (350 nucleotides) under Salmonella enterica. RNAcentral describes it as "partial 23S ribosomal RNA". It matches the Rfam family "Bacterial large subunit ribosomal RNA", at positions 2453 to 2802 of the family's 2925-position model. The record is from RNAcentral. Lineage: Bacteria; Pseudomonadati; Pseudomonadota; Gammaproteobacteria; Enterobacterales; Enterobacteriaceae. RNAcentral also lists the same sequence under 1 other name.
CGGAUAAAAGGUACUCCGGGGAUAACAGGCUGAUACCGCCCAAGAGUUCAUAUCGACGGCGGUGUUUGGCACCUCGAUGUCGGCUCAUCACAUCCUGGGGCUGAAGUAGGUCCCAAGGGUAUGGCUGUUCGCCAUUUAAAGUGGUACGCGAGCUGGGUUUAGAACGUCGUGAGACAGUUCGGUCCCUAUCUGCCGUGGGCGCUGGAGAACUGAGGGGGGCUGCUCCUAGUACGAGAGGACCGGAGUGGACGCAUCACUGGUGUUCGGGUUGUCAUGCCAAUGGCACUGCCCGGUAGCUAAAUGCGGAAGAGAUAAGUGCUGAAAGCAUCUAAGCACGAAACUUGCCCCGA